RNAcentral lists this long non-coding RNA (553 nucleotides) under Panax ginseng (ginseng). RNAcentral's name for it is "long non-coding RNA (PGIN_LNC016173)". Lineage: Eukaryota; Viridiplantae; Streptophyta; Magnoliopsida; Apiales; Araliaceae. The record is from RNAcentral.
AGUUAAACUCACUUACGUUUGGACAAAUGGAAGACUAAUUAAAUUUGGAUGAAAUUGAAUUAGUUUGCUAUGUUUAUAAAAUCAAAGUUCACUUUUGUACGGCUACAAUGGAUUUUGAAUCAGUUAGUUAUUUGCAAUUUACUACUCUUUUUGUAGUGAAUUUUUUCACAUUGCUGAAUCUGAUGGAGGUCGAGAAUAGAGGAUGAAUGAUAAUGAAGCGGAAUUGAGAAGGAAUGGAGAUUGUAUGGCUAAACCCAGCGACGACUAUAUCUUCCGCAACGGUAGUUACAAAAACUAAGAAAACAAAUUGUUUUUUUUGUUGUUGUUGUUGGUAGAUAGUAGCACUCAAAUUGCUUUUUUGCAUUAUACGUCUUUCAGGUAUUCGGUACGCCAGAGCAUAUUACUUUGAGUUCAUAUCCCAUAUGUAUACUGAUAUUUUUGUCAUAAAUGUUCCCAUUUGUAUGUAUAAUUAAAACCCUAAUUGAAUCGGUUCACAGGCUAAAAAUAGGCAGGCGGGAAAGACCAUUGCCGAUCUUUUUGCUGAAGAGUUUAG